CGGGAAUCGCAGGCGGGAUAUGAAAUAUAUUUUUAUUUUAUUUUAUGUGAAUAAACUUUCUCUGUCCAGAAGGUCCUACUUUCUCUCUCUUUCACUGCCAAAAUAGCUCUCUCUCUUGCCCUCGAUGAAAUACAAUCUCUAAAUCUCAUUGCCUAUAUUCCUAAAUCGCUCAUUGAUCUUCACUCAAAGGUUAAAGUUUUUGGUCGUUGCUCAUCUAUGAGUAAGGUGAAUCUCAGAGAUAAAGUAGUAAAUCUGAGCAAAUCACCAGUGAAAAGGAGAUUAUCUGAAAGUUUUAUAGAGAAAUCUGCGAGAUAUGGAGUAGUUAAAUGCAGUGAAAAAGGCAUUGCAUGUGUCUAGGGCUCCAUCAAAUCUUUUGUCUCGAGAAAUUGAGAACAAUAGAAUUCUAGAGUUCUAUAAGCAAGUGUGGAACAAAAUAAGGCAAGAAGUUUGUAUAUCUGUGGCUGCCCAGGGACGGGAAAGUCUCUAUCAAUGGAGAAGGUUAACAAGGUCCUGAUAAAUUGAGAGAAAAUACCAUUUUGUGUUAUAGGAAGUCAUGAAGCACAGAGAUGCUGCACAGAUAGCAGCCAUUGAGGCUAUGCAGGUUACUUCGGCUACUGUAAGCUUAAUCAGAUGUCUCAGGUAGUCUGGUUUUUUUUUUCUUUUCUUUUCUGUCAAGUCGGAAUUUAAGGUACUUCUUUUUGAGUUGCAUAGUAAAAGGUGAAUUUUAAGUGCUGAAAUUAGUUUUUGCUUCAUGUUAAGACACUUUAGCUUGGCUGCAUGUUUGUGUAUUAAUAAGGUAAUAUUUGUUGAUGUUGUCUUGAAAAUCCCAUAUGGAAGUUGUAUAAAACCUAAAAAUGGUUCUCUAUAAAAGGCAAUGUACACAAGAAGGGACCUCCUGGGUGCACCAAAAACUAAUCAAAAGAGUUUGGCUGUAUAGCUAGUAGUCCUACUUUUUGUUAUGUUCGAGCCAACUGUGGAAAGCUUAUGUUGUAUUGUAUAUGUCUGCACAUGGUGCUAUAUUCUGUGUAAUAAAUUGCCAACAAUUUAGUGCUUAUGCAAUUGUUUGGCAGGCCACUUCAAACUCUUCUAAUUUGUCUUUGGAUAAGCUUAGCAUGGGUAAAAGUACCACUAUAUUCAACAUUUCUUUUCUCAUCAACUUAACACUAUCUUGAAUGACCCACGAGAGGUUAUAGUAAUUUGAAUUUUUUUUGGGGCAACUGAAUGGGAAAAUGUGAUAGGAGGUUACUUCCAUGACAUUCGAUAAGUUUGCAAUUUUGUACAUCAUACUGUCUGAAUGAUUGUACAACGAGUAACUGAAAUUGCAAAUUCCUAAUUAGGUCAUAUAAUGUACUGUUUUUACUUGUUUGGAAAUGCCUUUCAAUAUGUGUUAUUAUUUGUUGUUUAUUAUACUUCGAUUAUAGUAUUAUUUUACCUUAGUUAGUGUCAUGUUUCUAUGUACUGUUUUUCAAGUUAGUUGGUCUAUUGGAGGCAAUCUCUCUGCCUACACUCUCCCUUCCUCGGUCCUCACUUUGUGGGAUUAUACUAAGUAUGGGGAGAGUUUACAGAAGGUUAAUGAGAAAGAUCGGGUUAUUGUAGAUCUACGGGAUAAGGUUUCUCAGUUUAAGCAGGCUUGUCGUGAGACUGAAUUGCGGUUGAAAUUCACUUGUGAAGAUAAUGUAAUACUUGUAUUUUUCAUUUAUACCUCUUAUACUUUGACUAUCGUAUUAUUUUGUUUUAGUUACUGUCUUGUUUCUAUGUACUGUUUCUGAGUUACUUGGACUGUUUUCCCCUUGAGCUGAGGGUGUAUCGGAGACAUCCUCUCUACCCUCCUCAGACCUCACUUUGUAGGAUUAUGGUGAAUACGUUAAUUUUAUUGUUGUAUUAACAUUAGUUUUAAUUUCUUCAAACAUCAUUGUAGAAGUCCCUUUUCAGGAUGUGGGUUGCUCUGCUUUUACCAUUCUUGUUGUUAUGUUUGCUUAAACGAUAAUGGUAUAGAAUUUGUACCAAAAUAGGUUCAUGUAUUCACUUCUCUGAUCUCUUCAAACAUCAUUGUGAAAAUCCCUUUAUCUAAUUGAAUCAGAUUUGACUCGACACAAAGAAAUCCCUUUAUGUCAAAAUUGAGGGAGUGCUUCUUAACAGGUCAAAUUCUAGUUUAUUGCUAAUGUCUUGUGAGCCCUACAUUAACGGUAUAACAAAUAGGUCCACUGAUGCGUGAACAUGUACAAUCCUAUUGCACAGACAUAGCUAUAGAAUAUUAUACUUAACUAAUAUCCAAACAAUCCUGUCACCUAAGAAAGCCCUGUUACUUUACAUUACCAAGAAUCAGCAGAUUCCCUGUUUGCCUACAGAUCAUAAAAGAUGGUCAACACUCAACAUAGUAUCUGGUGAAAUUACUGCAAAUACAUGUAAGAAUAUGAUUUGUCACUUGGAAUAGAAAGACUAUUGCCAGAACCUACGAGUUAGUUUUGUUUAUUGAUUGCUGAACUUAGUUUUGUUUAAAUCUGUAGGGCUCGUUCUCUUAUUUUAUGCAGACAAGAAAAUUAAGAGUCAUGCUAACCAUUACAUUGUCAGAGUUAGUGUCUGAAGUUCGAGUAACACAAAUAAAACCUGAUGAAAUACUAGAAGAAAGUGGUGAAGCUCGUCGUCUUCGAAGGAUCAGCAGAAAACCUCUGUUCCUGGUAUGAGGUGAAAUUUCUUUUCGAGAGUCUUCUUAUGGCUCUUGAUGCCAGUCUGGGACAUGCACUUCUGAUCUUCAUAUAAUGUGGUUACUGCAUCUUUGUGAAGCUCGUCAGGAAAUGCAGUCUUGGGUAGAAGCUGCUCAAUGCGUUGUUACUGUUUCUGGUGUAGUGAUGCAGGUAACUUCGAUUAGAUAGCCUUCCUGUUUCUGAGCUAAUCUUAAACUGCUGCAGGUUGCUAGCUUUGGUGGCUCGAACAUUAAUCUGUCUGCCUAGGAGGACAAGAAGAACCCUAGUGAAUCUAAGGUUUGCAAUUUAUAUUACUCAUACCGUGCAGUCUCUUCCUUGUUGAGACCACAUGUAUUAUCUUCCUGUUGCACAAAGGUUAUAGUUUUAUUUGCGAGACCAACUUGCUAUCUAUAUGGCUACCAAUUAGAGACCAACCUACUAAUCUAUACGGCCACCGUUUAAAGCCUAAUCUAUACGUAAAACUUAACGGCCACCGUUAAGUAAACAACCUCAUAUUAAUAAACAACCUUAUAAUCUUUACGGCCACCGUUUAACCUUAUAAACUUUAACGGCCAUCAUUUAACCUUAUAACUCUAAAUUAGUAAACAACCAUAUAACCUUAUAAUCUUAACGGCCACCAUUUAACCUUAUAACCUUAACAACCACUGUUUUGAUAUGUUUGUAGUCCUGUUUUGGUGAUAUAUUGUUGAUUUAUUAAGUUUCUUGUACGGUGACACAUAACAACGCCAUUCAUCAUACAAUAAUUGCAGAGUAGCUAAAUGCUGAACAAUUAACUGAAACAUUACAUAAUCACACUAUGUAGGCACAUCGUGUAAAUCUUUCUUCAAUGUGAGCACUUGAGGUUUUCCAUUCGUGGUUUAUUCGCACACUUGACAACUUGUAUAUAAUAAUAGACAUUUUUUAAGAGUCCAAGUAACUUUGGUACUUACUAGGUACAAACUUUGAGUGUUAGUAAUGUUACAUAAUGAUGGACUAUCCUAUUACAGGUUGUUAUGUUAACAACUAUUGUUGCAAAGUAUACAAACAACUUAGCUACUAGCUAGAACAAUAGAUGAUUUCACUAUAAUAAAGUUCGUGACAGGAAAUAGUUGACGUUGAAAGGUCGAGUAUGCGAGAGAGAAUUAGGAUGAACGUCCUGCUAUUGAGACUAGACUCAGUACCAGGAGUUGAUCCAAUAGUCAGGGAGCUGAGACAAGACCUGAGUCGCAGGAUUGUGAGGUUGCAAGAGAUACUAGAUGUUGUUUCUGACACUAAAAUUCAAAAUCGGGAUGGAUUUCUGAUAGAUUGGGAUGAUGUUGUUGAAAGGAUGAAAAUGGAUGUAUGCAAUGAGAGAGGCGGUGGCAAUGAACUAGAGAUGUUUUUUGCUGAGCAUUUGGGCUUUCGAUGCCUACAAAGGUUUCUCUGCGACCAAUGAUCUUGAUAAGUGAAUAUGUUAUGUAUAUAUCUAUACAUAUCCUGUACUGGAGGUCUAUUGGAAACAACCUUUCUACUGCUUCAGAGGUAGUGGUAUGGACUGCAUUUAUUUUACUCUCCCCAAACCCCACUAGGUGGUAAUACACUCGGUACGUUGUUGUUGUUGGUUUAUCCGUACAUGAACAAAAUUUCCGUGCUUUAUUGCCCUUAAGAAACUUAUUGAAUUUUUGUUUAAUGAAAAUAUAGUCAUUAUAUGUUUAAUUUUAGUGACCCUGCUGCUCAUUAUCUUUUUCCUACAGAAUAUGCAGCAAAAGGUGUUACAGGUAUUCAAUCUCUUUUUUCCUUUGUAUACUUUGAUUUCCUAUAAUGAUGCUAACCAAAUGCUUAAUUUUGUUUGUUUGCCACUUAUAUUCAGGUCGCAAGUUUUACAAUCUUGCUCUCAACUCUAUGAUGGAUGCUCCUUUAUAGAAUUCACCUUUUCUGGAGAGUUUUAUCAAAGUAGAAGACAUCGUUUUUGUAGGAUUAUUUAGAAAAACAUUUUGUUAUAUACUUAGAGAUGCUGGCUACUUUGGUUGAUGAAUUAUGUAAACAGUAUUUGGAUAGUAUAUUUUUGUAUGUACUUUUUGUCGGAUGUUAAUUCAUUGUACUAGU
Capsicum annuum is the source of this 4769-nucleotide long non-coding RNA. RefSeq lists it as uncharacterized. Lineage: Eukaryota; Viridiplantae; Streptophyta; Magnoliopsida; Solanales; Solanaceae. The record is from RefSeq and is a predicted model, not a curated record. The transcript is spliced from 4 exons.